RNAcentral lists this transfer RNA (82 nucleotides) under Roseivirga sp. 4D4. RNAcentral describes it as "Fabibacter sp. 4D4 tRNA-Leu". It matches the Rfam family "tRNA". Rfam says of the family: Transfer RNA (tRNA) molecules are approximately 80 nucleotides in length. The record is from RNAcentral. Lineage: Bacteria; Pseudomonadati; Bacteroidota; Cytophagia; Cytophagales; Roseivirgaceae.
GUCUCAGUGGUGAAACAGGUAUACACAGCAGUUUUAGAAACUGCCUCCACAUGGAAUGUAGGUUCGAAUCCUACCUGAGACA